Molecule: long non-coding RNA, 1014 nt
Organism: Oncorhynchus gorbuscha (pink salmon)
Lineage: Eukaryota; Metazoa; Chordata; Actinopteri; Salmoniformes; Salmonidae
Exons: 2
Source: RefSeq, a predicted model, not a curated record
GUGGAAAAAGCCAGGGGUUAUGAAUAUGUUCCAAAGGCACUGUGUAGUGUCGGUCUGUUAAAAAACAAUAUACUGUAGGCCUGUUCAACAGUUUGGACUUAAUAUAAAUGUAUUGUCUUCUGUUAAUUAAACACUGACCUGUUAUUCUGUUUCCUGCAGCCCUGAUUCUAGGAGUGGUGUUUGGGAUCACUGGAGCAAUACUCAUCAUAGUCAUUGUUGUCCUGGCCAUGCAGAGCAAGAAGAAUCACAAAAGUGAUACAAAGAAAGUGAAAGAUGUCAAGCUGGAGACACAACUGCAAGAAGAACCAAUUGAGAUGGCGUAGAGAAGAGAAGACAACCAUGAAAGGAAAUUAGAAUGACUAGAACGCAUGAUUUCAUUCAUGUCAACGUCCAUGAUGAGUUGUCGGCAGCCAUAUUGAGUGUACACAUGCCAGUCAUUCUAAUUGUAGGGGAAAAACCAGCUCUGGCCUUCACCUGAAUGGCCCCUCUUAGGGUGAUAUCAUAACAUAGGCCUACAGUUGCAACUAACAAACUUCAAAUUCCAUAUAAUGUUUACCUCAUUUGUUAUUCAAAAAUAAUUUGUUUCUGUGUUGACAAUAUCGUAUCUGACUUCCCCAUCACAAAUGUACGCCAGGCUAUUUCCUCAUGGUUAUGUUUGACAUCUCAGUUAUUUUAUAAUGUAUUUUUUAUACACUCUCCACUUUUACAAUAAAAAUGUAUGUUUAUUUCAAGUAAAUUUGGUAACUACUCAAAUCUUCUCCACAGAUUUGAAAGAAUAAGCACUAUUCUUUAUCAAUUAGAUUCAAGUUUGUUAUUGAACUACUGAGUGUGCAACAAGAUUUAUCUGAUAUUUUAAUUGUUUUUAAUGUGUUUUUGUGCUACGAAAGGUUUGUUUGGUCUGUAUAAACAUUCUAAUAAUAAUAUUAACGUUCACAUAGGUUUUGUAGAAGCUACUAAAUUGUAUGUUUUUGUAGGACACGAUAUGAGAAUAAACCAAUACACAGUUUGAAAACA